This is a long non-coding RNA of Rhea pennata, 280 nucleotides long. RefSeq lists it as uncharacterized. The record is from RefSeq and is a predicted model, not a curated record. Lineage: Eukaryota; Metazoa; Chordata; Aves; Rheiformes; Rheidae. The transcript has 4 exons.
AAAAAUGUAAUUUCUAAUUCUGUUUCUUUGUGUUAGGAGGAAUUGGCCAAAGUAUAGAUGAUUUUUUUUUUCAGAGGUCACUGAUGGUGAAGGAAGACAGCUGGUACUCCUGUUUUUACUAUUCAAGGAGUAAUGUGUCAUUUACUGGUAUGAUGACUUACCUUCAUGGCAGCGUGGGAUCUUUAAUGUUCUUUGCACGGAAUCAGUCCUUAGGCUAACUGUGCUCAAAGUAUGUGUUGCACCUACAUGAUGAAGGCUGUACUGUAAACAUGACUCCACC